AACGAACGCUGGCGGCAUGCCUAACACAUGCAAGUCGAACGAUCCCUUCGGGGAUAGUGGCGCACGGGUGCGUAACGCGUGGGAACCUGCCCUUAGGUUCGGAAUAACUCAGAGAAAUUUGAGCUAAUACCGGAUAAUGUCUUCGGACCAAAGAUUUAUCGCCUUUGGAUGGGCCCGCGUUGGAUUAGCUAGUUGGUGGGGUAAAGGCCUACCAAGGCGACGAUCCAUAGCUGGUCUGAGAGGAUGAUCAGCCACACUGGGACUGAGACACGGCCCAGACUCCUACGGGAGGCAGCAGUGGGGAAUAUUGGACAAUGGGCGAAAGCCUGAUCCAGCAAUGCCGCGUGAGUGAUGAAGGCCUUAGGGUUGUAAAGCUCUUUUACCCGGGAUGAUAAUGACAGUACCGGGAGAAGAAGCCCCGGCUAACUCCG
Molecule: ribosomal RNA, 431 nt
Filed under: uncultured bacterium
Lineage: Bacteria
Description: partial 16S ribosomal RNA
Rfam family: Bacterial small subunit ribosomal RNA
Source: RNAcentral